RNAcentral lists this ribosomal RNA (253 nucleotides) under uncultured bacterium. RNAcentral's name for it is "partial 16S ribosomal RNA". It matches the Rfam family "Bacterial small subunit ribosomal RNA", at positions 524 to 776 of the family's 1533-position model. The record is from RNAcentral.
GACGAGAGGUCCGAGCGUUAGACGGAAUCACUGGGCUUAAAGGGUGUGUAGGCUGACCUUCAGGCGUGUUGUGAAAUCCCCCGGCUCAACCGGGGAAUUGCGAUGCGAACCGUUGGUCUUGAGGCGCGUAGGGGCUGUCAGAACGUUCGGUGGAGCGGUGAAAUGCGUUGAUAUCGAACGGAAUGCCGAUGGUGAAGACGGGCAGCUGGGCGCGACCUGACGCUGAGACACGAAAGCGUGGGGAUCAAACAGG